This 76-nucleotide small RNA is filed under the name Corethron hystrix. Its description in RNAcentral is "partial transfer-messenger RNA". Lineage: Eukaryota; Bacillariophyta; Corethrophyceae; Corethrales; Corethraceae. The record is from RNAcentral.
GAAAAUAAAUGCAAAUAACACUUAUGAACUGCUGUACUGUAUGAGUGGACUCUUUGUCGUUUAUUUUGAGUCCAUG